CAACGACGGGUACGGGGUGUGAGAGCACUUGCCCGGAGAUGGUUUCUGAGACACGAAACCAGGCCCUACGGGGCGCAGCAGGCGCGAAAACUUCGCAAUGCGGGGAACCGUGACGAGGGAACUCCAAGUGUCUAUGCAACGCAUAGACUGUUUUUCAGCCUAAAUAGCUGUUAGAGUAAGGGGUGGGUAAGACCGGUGCCAGCCGCCGCGGUAACACCGGCACCCCGAGUGGUAGCCACUAUUAUUGGGCCUAAAGCGUUCGUAGCCGGUUUAGUAAAUUCUUGGGUAAAUCGUACAGCUUAACUGUGCGGAUUCCGGGGACACUACUAGACUUGAAACCGGGAGAGAUUAGAGGUACUUGCAGGGGAGCGGUGAAAUGUUGUAAUCCUGCAGGGACCACCAGUGGCGAAGGCGUCUAAUCAUAACGG
This 428-nucleotide ribosomal RNA is filed under the name uncultured euryarchaeote. RNAcentral describes it as "bacterial SSU rRNA". It matches the Rfam family "Archaeal small subunit ribosomal RNA", at positions 258 to 688 of the family's 1478-position model. Lineage: Archaea; Methanobacteriati; Methanobacteriota. The record is from RNAcentral.